UUUUGUUGUCUAACAUGUUUUCCUUUCAAGGUUGUGUUGUGUUGUAUAAUUAGAUAAAAAUAAUGAGUUAGAUAAGGUUUUUGUUCACAUCUAUAAAUCAAUUUCUUUGCCAUUUCUGUAAUAUUUAUGCUCUAGUAUGAGAUUGUGUCAUAUGCAAUUUUCUUUGUGUCAUCUUACCUUUAAAAAAUCAUGAUUGUUAAGGAAAGUAUUUGCCGUCCACAAUGUUAC
RNAcentral lists this long non-coding RNA (228 nucleotides) under Mytilus galloprovincialis (Mediterranean mussel). The record is from RNAcentral. Lineage: Eukaryota; Metazoa; Mollusca; Bivalvia; Mytilida; Mytilidae.